Molecule: long non-coding RNA, 1096 nt
Organism: Patiria miniata (bat star)
Lineage: Eukaryota; Metazoa; Echinodermata; Asteroidea; Valvatida; Asterinidae
Exons: 3
Source: RefSeq, a predicted model, not a curated record
AGAAGCCAUCGGGAGUUUACCGAAGUAUAACUAUAAAGAAUCAACACGUUGAUAUUCGCAAGUAAUUUCAUACAGAUCCUCAUUCUAAAAGGUGCCUCCAAUAAAACAAAAAUGCCUGCAAGAAAGAAGGAACCCCUCGGACGCUCAAGUCCGGCAUCGGCAUCAAACCAACCGUCACCAUCAACUCGAACAAGAGAGACGCAAGAAAAAGUUAAACCCAAGAAGUCACCUAAGGCUACUAGUGUCCCGAAGAAAAAAAGGACAGUGAGCGGUUCUGGAAUUCGUAAGCAUAAACGGCAACAUUCAAAGAAAACUAGCAAGUCUAAAUCCCGUUCGAGGAAGACUAAGUAGACGGGCGGAAACACCACUAGAAGGUCUGUAAUUGGAAAUAUCACAUCAUUUGUCAAGGACCUCCAAUCACCUCCUCUCAAGCUGUUUCAUCAACUCAUCCCAAACUUGAGGCAACGGAUUUGUAAACCUCAACAUCUACAAAAAAUUAACACAAGAGAACUUCAUUAUGAACUGAAUUGUAAAGUUUGAUAAACCUUACCUAGCCUACACAAAUAAUAAUUACAUCACGUAGUUAAACAUAUUAAAGAUGACUAUUCUAUCUCCUAGUUUAAGCAUGCAUCAUUGACAUCGAAACUUAACAACUUGACAGCCUGAAUCUGAUGUAAUGAAACUCAUGAUAUCAAUAACUUAGAGUAAUAAUGCUGCAUGAUACAACGAUUAAAAUAUUUGAAAAUGUUAAAAAAGUUCCAUUAAAGAAGAGUAAUUACACAUCACACUGGAAACAUUGCAACUGUAGUUGCGGGAGUGCUGACGAAGUCUCAAUAGUGAAAUCUCACUCUUUUCAUCCUAAAACAAUUGUGUAUUUACUAAUAACAGCAUGCAAGUAAUACAACACAAAUCUAUCCCCAUUAAGCAUAUUACUAGUUAAAGCAGCAAAUACUCAGAGUCAGAACUAAAUGAAUACAACUGAAUCGGAGACGUUUUGGUGAAAUCGCAAGCGCCAUUUUAUGUACAGACUUCCUUGAAGUUCAACGGAAUUUGCUCUGGAUGUGAUGUGAUUAAAUUUCCAAGCAAAAAGUCUGGA